GGAAGGGUGGCAGAGCACGGUUUAAUGCAGCGGCUUCGAAUACCGCCGGGGGCGGGGACGUCCUCCAUGGGUUCAAAUCCCAUCCCUUCCG
RNAcentral lists this transfer RNA (91 nucleotides) under Allobosea sp. RAC05. Its description in RNAcentral is "Bosea sp. RAC05 tRNA". It matches the Rfam family "tRNA". Rfam says of the family: Transfer RNA (tRNA) molecules are approximately 80 nucleotides in length. Their secondary structure includes four short double-helical elements and three loops (D, anti-codon, and T loops). The record is from Rfam by way of RNAcentral. Lineage: Bacteria; Pseudomonadati; Pseudomonadota; Alphaproteobacteria; Hyphomicrobiales; Alloboseaceae.